Molecule: ribosomal RNA, 440 nt
Filed under: uncultured bacterium
Lineage: Bacteria
Description: partial 16S ribosomal RNA
Rfam family: Bacterial small subunit ribosomal RNA
Source: RNAcentral
CCUACGGGAGGCAGCAGUGGGGAAUAUUGCACAAUGGGGGAAACCCUGAUGCAGCGAAGCCGCGUGAGUGAUGAAGUAAUUCGUUAUGUAAAGCUCUAUCAGCAGGGAAGCAAAUGACGGUACCUGAGUAUGAAGCCCCGGCUAACUACGUGACAGCAUCCGCGGGAAUACGGAGGGGGCAACGGUGAUCCGGAUUUACUGGGUGUAAAGGGAGCGUAGAUGGCAGUGCAAGUCUGGAGUGAAAGGCGGGGGCUCAACCCCCGGACUGCUCUGGAAACUGGACGGCUGGAGUGGAGGAGAGGUAAGUGGAAUUCCUAGUGUAGCGGUGAAAUGCGUAGAUAUUAGGAGGAACACCAGUGGCGAAGGCGGCUUACUGGAGGGUAACUGACGCUGAUGCUCGAAAGUGUGGGUAUCAAACAGGAUUAGAUACCCUUGUAGUC